Molecule: ribosomal RNA, 479 nt
Filed under: uncultured bacterium
Lineage: Bacteria
Description: SSU rRNA
Rfam family: Bacterial small subunit ribosomal RNA
Source: RNAcentral
AGGAUAAACGCUGGCGGCGUGCCUAACACAUGCAAGUCGAACGCGCUUUCGGGCUUCGGUGCGAGAGCGAGUGGCGGACGGGUGAGUAACACAUGGGUACCUACCUUGGAGUGAGGGAUACCGGCGAGAAAUCGCCGACAAUACCGCAUAGGCUUCUUCACAAGGGAAGCAAAGUGACGCGAGUCACACUUUGAGAUGGGCCUGUGGCCGAUUAGCUAGUUGGGGGGGUAACGGCUUCCCAAGGCGACGAUCGGUAGCUGGUCUGAGAGGACGAUCAGCCACACUGGGAUUGAGAACGGCCCAGACUCCUACGGGGGGCAGCAGUGAGGAAUUUUCCGCAAUGGAGGCAACUCUGACGGAGCAACGCCGCGUGCAGGAGGAAGGUUUUCGGAUCGUAAACUGCUUUUCUCGGGGACGAGCGAAGGACGGGUACCCGAGGGAACGAACGGCCCCGGACUAACGUACGUGCCAGCAGCCGC